RNAcentral lists this ribosomal RNA (397 nucleotides) under Phrynobatrachus sp. BMNH 2018.5872. Its description in RNAcentral is "partial large subunit ribosomal RNA". The record is from RNAcentral. Lineage: Eukaryota; Metazoa; Chordata; Amphibia; Anura; Phrynobatrachidae.
GGGACUUGGGGGCCCCGGUCCCUAACCGGGCGAAGGUUCCAUAAUCCUUGUUCUUUAAAUAAGGGCCUGGAUCAACGGCCUCCCGAGGGCUGAACUGCCUCCCCUUUUAAUUCAGUGAUUCUAACCCCUUCUUGAAAAACCUAAAAUAAAAAAAUAAAACAAAAAAACCCCUUGGAGCUUAAAACCAAGUAUCAAACUUUUUCUAAAAAACCUUAAAAAAAAGGAAACCUGUUACCAAGUUUUUGGCUGGGGCAUCCAAGGAUUAUAUUCUACCCCCCCGGACAAAAAUCUAAAAUUUACAACUCUAAAAGGCAUUAAACUGAUGUAAAAUGACCCGAAUAUCAAUCAACAAACCAAUUUACCCUGGGGAUAACACCGAAAUCCAUUUUGAAAGCCC